UACGUGGGGGGCAAGCGUUGUUCGGAAUUACUGGGCGUAAAGGGCUCGUAGGCGGCCAACUAAGUCGGACGUGAAAUCCCUCGGCUUAACCGGGGAACUGCGUCCGAUACUGGAUGGCUUGAGUUCGGGAGAGGGAUGCGGAAUUCCAGGUGUAGCGGUGAAAUGCGUAGAUAUCUGGAGGAACACCGGUGGCGAAGGCGGCAUCCUGGACCGACACUGACGCUGAUGAGCGAAAGCCAGGGGAGCAAACGGG
This 253-nucleotide ribosomal RNA is filed under the name uncultured bacterium. RNAcentral's name for it is "partial 16S ribosomal RNA". It matches the Rfam family "Bacterial small subunit ribosomal RNA", at positions 524 to 776 of the family's 1533-position model. The record is from RNAcentral.